AGGGCGGCCUCGACUACCUCGGCAACCCCAGCCUUAUCCAUGCGCAGAGCAUCCUCGCCAUCUGGGCCUGCCAGGUCGUGCUCAUGGGCGCCGUCGAGGGCUACCGCAUUGCCGGCGGCCCACUCGGCGAGGUCGUCGACCCGCUCUACCCCGGCGGCAGCUUCGACCCCCUCGGCCUGGCCGACGACCCUGAGGCCUUCGCCGAGCUCAAGGUCAAGGAGCUCAAGAAUGGCCGCCUCGCCAUGUUCUCCAUGUUCGGAUUCUUCGUCCAGGCCAUCGUCACCGGCAAGGGCCCGCUCGAGAACCUGGCCGACCACCUCGCCGACCCAGUCAACAACAACGCCUGGGCCUACGCCACCAACUUCGUCCCCGGCAACUAAGCUCGCCAUUCGCCUCUGCAACUCCAUUGUCUUCCGGCCGGGAGGGGCGUAC
Molecule: long non-coding RNA, 432 nt
Filed under: Setaria italica (foxtail millet)
Lineage: Eukaryota; Viridiplantae; Streptophyta; Magnoliopsida; Poales; Poaceae
Description: long non-coding RNA (SITA_LNC001525)
Source: RNAcentral